GAUGAACGCUGGCGGCGUGCCUAAUACAUGCAAGUCGAGCGAACGGACGAGAAGCUUGCUUCUCUGAUGUUAGCGGCGGACGGGUGAGUAACACGUGGAUAACCUCCCUAUAAGACUGGGAUAACUUCGGGAAACCGGAGCUAAUACCGGAUAAUAUUUUGAACCGCAUGGUUCAAAAGUGAAAGACGGUUUUGCUGUCACUUAUAGAUGGAUCCGCGCUGCAUUAGCUAGUUGGUAAGGUAACGGCUUACCAAGGCAACGAUGCAUAGCCGACCUGAGAGGGUGAUCGGCCACACUGGAACUGAGACACGGUCCAGACUCCUACGGGAGGCAGCAGUAGGGAAUCUUCCGCAAUGGGCGAAAGCCUGACGGAGCAACGCCGCGUGAGUGAUGAAGGUCUUCGGAUCGUAAAACUCUGUUAUUAGGGAAGAACAUAUGUGUAAGUAACUGUGCACAUCUUGACGGUACCUAAUCAGAAAGCCACGGCUAACUACGUG
This 497-nucleotide ribosomal RNA is filed under the name uncultured bacterium. RNAcentral's name for it is "partial 16S ribosomal RNA". It matches the Rfam family "Bacterial small subunit ribosomal RNA", at positions 28 to 507 of the family's 1533-position model. The record is from RNAcentral.